GCAUGCGCAGUUCCAAUAACAAUCAUGGCGGAAGCCGAAACGAGUAAUGCUGUAUUGUCACCACCAGGUAUGAUUGAUGUUGCCACACAUGAGUUCACUACACCUGUCAGGGAGGUACUGAAACCUGAACAAAUGUCGGCAUGGGAAAGUUCACAGGCCUACAGAGAUCUUGUUGGGUUUAUUAUAGCCAUGAACGAAGCUGUGAAAAAUAAAAGUUUAAAUGAUGAAUGUCAUAUAUCUCAG
Molecule: long non-coding RNA, 243 nt
Organism: Lingula anatina
Lineage: Eukaryota; Metazoa; Brachiopoda; Lingulata; Lingulida; Lingulidae
Source: RefSeq, a predicted model, not a curated record